Molecule: long non-coding RNA, 1436 nt
Filed under: Cricetulus griseus (Chinese hamster)
Lineage: Eukaryota; Metazoa; Chordata; Mammalia; Rodentia; Cricetidae
Description: lncRNA (ENSCGRG00015042616.1)
Source: RNAcentral
CUUCACUUAAUGAGAUUUGAUGUGUGUGUGCAGCCUUAAUACUUCCCUCCAUGCAAAACAAUAAACACACUCACCAACCUCUGUACUCUCUACCCCACAUGCUCCAUUCUGUUCAACCCACAAGAAGCCACAGGUCUUCCUGUCACUAAAGCCUAUUGUGUGCUUUUAGAAUUUUGUAUGAACACAAUCAGAUUGGAGCUUCCAUUUGGCAACUCGUUCUCUGGUCUGAAGCACUUCCAUUAAUGUUCAUGGCAGGCACAUACAGGAACCAUCCUGUGCAUACUUCAAGGGAUGAAGUGGUCCAGGAAAGAUGACUAGCUUCGUUCAUUUGUCACAAGACCCACACUCAACACCCAAGACUCACAGCUUUCUCCUCUUGGAGGCUCCGUACCAGUGGUUCUCAACCUGCGUGCUCACAACAUAGGAAACAAUCAUUUGGAGUUGAUUUAUAUUCUGCAUGCCAGCAUCUUCUUGGGAGUGUGGAGGCUACUCUAGCUGUAGUACUUCCUGGCAUUCCUAAAGUUGGGGUUUCCAGUGAGGCAAGGAAACUUGAUGAAAACUCGCCUGUCAGAGGUCAGACAGAUCCUGAGCUAUUCUGUGACAUAACAACCUCAGUCAGGUCCUGGAAGUGAGACACUCUCAGGUCAAGUGCACGAGGGACAGCAGCCUGGACGGAUGUAGACUGGAGGGUGUAUGGCUGUCUGUCCCUUCCUACUGCUUGCCUGCGUCCCCACUCACACCAUUUACACUUCACUUACCACCAGAUAAGUGGUUCAUGUUGUGAUUACAGCAGUCAGGAAGCUGAGGCAGGGGGUUUGUGGUCUUUUAUUCCCCCAUUACCUCAUUCUUCGACUAAAAAAAAGAAAAUGGUGAUGUAGCUACAAGAACCCCGAUGGGAUCCCUGGACCUUACCAGUGCCAGCACAGGAGUUUUGAUAAAUGUAAAACCUCCUUAACCAGCAAGUAGCUCAAACAAGACGAAAAUCUCAAUGCCACAUAGAACAGCCCACUGUGUCCCUCUCUAGUUGCCACCCGCCUCCAUUCCAGAGCGGCUGCUCUGGUUUCAUCACCCAGGGCUCCAGAACUUGAUGGUUGUUUGUCUACCACAGCAUCUGUUCGCAUCCGGAUAAUCUCAAUCCACGCUAUGGUAUUUCAAGAGAUGCUUUCAUUUGUAUCCUUCCUUGGCAUUGGGUAGUCUCCGGUGUCACUUGCUGAACAGCCUGUCUCCCAUUCAUUUGCUCAGAACAGUUGUCCAAAAUCAUGCUCUUCAAGACACACAGGGGUGGGCCUAGGCCCUAUCCCAAAGGAGCCGAUAGACUCUGAUGAGCCCCUAUGGAAGGCCUCACCCUCCAGGGGGAGCAGAAAAGAUAUGUGACAGAUAAGGUUUUAUUUGGGGGUGGGGAUGGUAGGGGAGGAUGGGAGGGAGAAGGAAACUGG